Molecule: ribosomal RNA, 685 nt
Filed under: Exidiopsis plumbescens
Lineage: Eukaryota; Fungi; Basidiomycota; Agaricomycetes; Auriculariales; Exidiaceae
Description: eukaryotic LSU rRNA
Rfam family: Eukaryotic large subunit ribosomal RNA
Source: RNAcentral
CUUUGGCCUCAAAUCAGGUAGGACUACCCGCUGAACUUAAGCAUAUCAAUAAGCGGAGGAAAAGAAACUAACAAGGAUUCCCCUAGUAACGGCGAGUGAAGAGGGAAGAGCUCAAAUUUGAAAUCUGGCGGUCUACGGCCGUCCGAGUUGUAAUCUAGAGAGGUGUUUUCCGUGCCGGACCGUGUACAAGUCCCUUGGAACAGGGCGUCAUAGAGGGUGAGAAUCCCGUCCAUGACACGGACUACCGGUGCUCUGUGAUACACCUUCAAAGAGUCGAGUUGUUUGGGAAUGCAGCUCAAAACGGGUGGUAAAUUCCAUCUAAAGCUAAAUACAGGCGAGAGACCGAUAGCGAACAAGUACCGUGAGGGAAAGAUGAAAAGAACUUUGGAAAGAGAGUUAAACAGUACGUGAAAUUGUUGAAAGGGAAACGCUUGAAGUCAGUCGCGUUUGCCAGGACUCAGCCUUGCUUCUGCUUGGUGCACUUCCUGGUAGAUGGGCCAGCAUCAAUUUUGGCCGCCGGAAAAGGGCGGGAGGAAUGUGGCAGCUUGCUGUGUUAUAGCCUCUCGUCGUACACGGUGGUUGGGAUUGAGGAUUGCAGCACGCCUUUUGGUCGGGGUUCGCCCACGCCACGUGCUUAGGAUGCUGGCGUAAUGGCUUUAAACGACCCGUCUUGAAACACCGACCA